Long non-coding RNA from Homo sapiens (human), 1467 nucleotides. RefSeq lists it as uncharacterized. The record is from RefSeq and is a predicted model, not a curated record. Lineage: Eukaryota; Metazoa; Chordata; Mammalia; Primates; Hominidae. The transcript has 3 exons.
GCCUGCUUAAGCCCUCCCGGAGCGCUCGGGGUUCGACCCCCGAGCACGGCGGGAGGAGGGCGCCCCCCUGCGGCACAGCCACGUCCACGAAGCCCCUCCCGGGGUUCUAGAAAGCGGAGGCCUCCGAAGGAAAGACCAAGAUGCAGAGAGAUGUCUAAAAGGUGCCAGAAGGUGACUAUCCAGCCCUGGUAUCACUGCCUGGUGAUUUCGUUUCUUUGAUCUUCACGAAUGGCCUCACUGGCUGUGAUUUGGACAGAAAUCAGCUGCCACGUGCAACAUUCUCCCAUGGGAACAUGUGUCCGCAGUACCUAUCUCAGAGCCCAAAUCCUUCCUGCCCCACAGCCUUCUCCUGGAACCUGCCUUGGGUAAGCUGAGAAAUUGGUAUGGGAGGUGUGGGGGUGGGACAGAGUGUGCAGGUCUCUGGCCACAAGAGAAGCAGGAAGGGAUAAAGAUUCCUCCCAAUGUAUCUCCUGGCCUGGGUGUUUCUGCUGCCCACAAGUAUGUUGCUGUGAUUCUCAGGUCAAAGAGGCUCUCAGUUGCCUCAAAAGCUGCACCCUCGGCUGGGCUUGGUGGCUCACGCUUGUAAUUCCGGCGCUUUGGGAGGCCAAGGCAGGUAGAUCACUUGAGGUCAGGAGUUCGAGACUAGCCUGACCAAUAUGGUGAAACCCUGUCUCCACUAAAAAUACAAAAAAAUUAGUUGGGCAUGGUGGUGGGUGCCUGUAGUCCUAGCUUCUCGGAAGGCUGAGACAGGAGAAUUGCUUGAACCCAGCAGGCAGAGGUUGCAGUGAACCGAGAUCGUGCCACUGCACUCCAGCCUGGGUGACAUAGUGAGACUCUGUCUCAAAAAAAAAAAAUACUGCACCCCGACCUCCUUCACUUUGCCUUCCCUGGGACGUGUACGCCAUCCCUUUGAUCCUCCUUCCUCGCCCCUCCUCCUCCUCCUGGAGUUAGCCUUCAUGCACUUGUUUAUUUGCUCAUCAUAGAUUUACUGGGUACCCUGAACACCCUCUGGGUCGGGCCAAGGCCAGGUGCUGGGGAGGUGCCCUUUAGAGGCCCCGCUGAGCCUUCUGGUCACGCAUGGCAAUUCCAUCAGCCCUGGCCCGGCACCCCUCUUGUUUGUGUCACUCAGCUGUGAAGACCUGUUGCCCAUGCUUGUCUUUGAUCUCCCCCAGCGGGGCUUCUGCUGGCUUAGCCUUUCCUCCCUCCAGCUCUGCCUGUGAGGUCCAGUGAUCCUUCCGGGCAGUGGACCCUGCUCUGUGGGCACCUCACAGGCUCCGCAGGAAGCUUCUGGCUUCCAGCACCCCCUCACCUUGCUCACACUUUGCCUCCACCCCUCAAGCAGGCAUGAUUCCUCAGUGAUGCCCCAGACUCUAUAAGGACCUGAAUUCAAACCAGUUUGCUUAGGGGACAUUCAAUUUGUAGCUGUGAAAAUGAAUUUAAAGUUCACCUGAAAAAAAAAGAACAAAA